RNAcentral lists this ribosomal RNA (504 nucleotides) under uncultured bacterium. RNAcentral describes it as "bacterial SSU rRNA". It matches the Rfam family "Bacterial small subunit ribosomal RNA", at positions 30 to 525 of the family's 1533-position model. The record is from RNAcentral.
AUUGAACGCUGGCGGCAUGCCUUACACAUGCAAGUCGAACGGCAGCACGGGUGCUUGCACCUGGUGGCGAGUGGCGAACGGGUGAGUAAUAUAUCGGAACAUACCCUAGAGUGGGGGAUAACGUAGCGAAAGUUACGCUAAUACCGCAUACGAACUAAGGUUGAAAGUGGGGGAUCGCAAGACCUCAUGCUCAUGGAGUGGCCGAUAUCUGAUUAGUUAGUUGGUGAGGUAAAGGCUCACCAAGGCGACGAUCAGUAGCUGGUUUGAGAGAACGACCAGCCACACUGGAACUGAGACACGGUCCAGACUCCUACGGGAGGCAGCAGUGGGGAAUUUUGGACAAUGGGGGCAACCCUGAUCCAGCAAUGCCGCGUGAGUGAAGAAGGCCCUCGGGUUGUAAAGCUCUUUUGUCAGGGAAGAAACGGUCUACUCUAAUACAGUGGGCUAAUGACGGUACCUGAAGAAUAAGCACCGGCUAACUACGUGCCAGCAGCCGCGGUAAUC